CCUACGGGAGGCAGCAGUGAGGAAUAUUGGUCAAUGGACGAGAGUCUGAACCAGCCAAGUAGCGUGAAGGAUGACUGCCCUAUGGGUUGUAAACUUCUUUUAUAUGGGAAUAAAAUGUUCCACGUGUGGGAUUUUGUAUGUACCAUAUGAAUAAGGAUCGGCUAACUCCGUGCCAGCAGCCGCGGUAAUACGGAGGAUCCGAGCGUUAUCCGGAUUUAUUGGGUUUAAAGGGAGCGUAGGUGGAUUGUUAAGUCAGUUGUGAAAGUUUGCGGCUCAACCCGGGCCGGCCGUUGAAACUGGGGAUCUUGAGUGGGCGAGAAGUAUGCGGAAUGCGUGGUGUAGCGGUGAAAUGCAUAGAUAUCACGCAGAACUCCGAUUGCGAAGGCAGCAUACCGGCGCCCGACUGACGCUGAGGCACGAAAGCGUGGGGAUCGAACAGGAUUAGAUACCCGGGUAGUC
This 459-nucleotide ribosomal RNA is filed under the name uncultured bacterium. RNAcentral's name for it is "partial 16S ribosomal RNA". It matches the Rfam family "Bacterial small subunit ribosomal RNA", at positions 338 to 795 of the family's 1533-position model. The record is from RNAcentral.